AUACAGAGGGGGCAAGCGUUAUUCGGAAUUAUUGGGCGUAAAGGGCGCGUAGGCGGCUUUUUAAGUGAGAUGUGUAAUCCCUGAGCUCAACUUGGGAACUGCAUCUCAUACUGGGAGGCUAGAGUACUGGAGAGGGUGGUAGAAUUCCACGUGUAGCGGUGAAAUGCGUAGAGAUGUGGAGGAAUACCAGUGGCGAAGGCGGCCACCUGGACAGUAACUGACGCUGAGGCGCGAAAGUGUGGGUAGCAAACAGGAUUAGAUACCCUGGUAGUCCACACUGUAAACGAUGAACACUUGGUGUGGAGGGAGUUGACCCCUUCCGUGCCGUAGCUAACGCGUUAAGUGUUCCGCCUGGGGAGUACGGUCGCAAGGCUGAA
Molecule: ribosomal RNA, 377 nt
Filed under: uncultured bacterium
Lineage: Bacteria
Description: bacterial SSU rRNA
Rfam family: Bacterial small subunit ribosomal RNA
Source: RNAcentral